RNAcentral lists this long non-coding RNA (364 nucleotides) under Sorghum bicolor (sorghum). RNAcentral describes it as "long non-coding RNA (SBIC_LNC007044)". The record is from RNAcentral. Lineage: Eukaryota; Viridiplantae; Streptophyta; Magnoliopsida; Poales; Poaceae.
GUAUUCUUUACUAUACAUUAAUUAAACUUAAGAUGUUUUGAUUAACAACCCAAAAUAUUUUGGUCCUAGGUUAGAGAUAAAGGAAUAGGAUGGGGGACUUUUUAUAUAUAACCACUUAUUAAAUCAAAACUUGUCAUAUCACGAGUGACAGCUCUAGUUUGGUUUUGGAUAAUUGAUGAAACCUAUGUGUACUAACCUUUGUCAUGAGUGAAUACAAAGAUAGGUUGGUACACACCAAGCGAUGGAGCUAGAUGAUGGUCAUGGUGAUGGAGGUGACCAAAGGAUGAUAUUCAAGUGCUCCAACUUGAAAAAAAAAGAAAGAGAAAACAAAUGGACUCAAGGCAAAGGUAUUUUUAAUAGGGUC